This 372-nucleotide ribosomal RNA is filed under the name uncultured organism. RNAcentral describes it as "bacterial SSU rRNA". It matches the Rfam family "Bacterial small subunit ribosomal RNA", at positions 526 to 896 of the family's 1533-position model. The record is from RNAcentral.
CGUAGGGUCCGAGCGUUAAUCGGAAUUACUGGGCGUAAAGCGUGCGCAGGCGGUUUUGUAAGCCAGAUGUCGAAAGCCCCGGGCUUAACCUGGGAAUGGCAUUUGGGACUGCAAGGCUGGAGUACGGCAGAGGGAGGUGGAAUUCCACGUGUAGCAGUGAAAUGCGUAGAGAUGUGGAGGAACACCGAUGGCGAAGGCAGCCUCCUGGGCUAGUACUGACGCUCAUGCACGAAAGCGUGGGGAGCAAACAGGAUUAGAUACCCUGGUAGUCCACGCCCUAAACGAUGACAACUAGUUGUUGGGGAUUUAACAUCCUUAGUAACGCAGCUAACGCGUGAAGUUGUCCGCCUGGGGAGUACGGUCGCAAGAUUA